UUACGACCACAUCACGUUGAAACACCGGUUCCAGUACGAUCACCGAAGUUAAGCAACGUCAAGUCUGGUCAGUACCUAAAUUGACGACCGCUUCGGAAUAUCAGGUACUGUAA
This is a non-coding RNA of Acanthosepion pharaonis, 113 nucleotides long. NCBI's taxonomy places the organism in Eukaryota, Metazoa, Mollusca, Cephalopoda, Sepiida, Sepiidae. The record is from the annotation of a GenBank genome assembly.